Non-coding RNA from Aegilops tauschii subsp. strangulata, 1819 nucleotides. Lineage: Eukaryota; Viridiplantae; Streptophyta; Magnoliopsida; Poales; Poaceae. The record is from RefSeq and is a predicted model, not a curated record.
UGAUCCGGUCGCGUCUCUGGUUGGUGGGCCUAAUGGGCCGUCAAACCGACUCCUAGGCCCAUGCUCACAUAGGAUGAGAUGACGGGUCGGCAGCUCUGUUCUGAACUUCUCAUCGGUUUUCCAGAGGAGUUCGCUGGGCGAGAUGACCUGCGGCGGCCUCCCCGGCUCGCCGGCGCCGGCGCCGAUGCCGGCGGUGGCGGCCCCGCUGGAGGACGAGAACCUCCUCCCGGAGAUCCUCGUCCGCCUAGCCCCACUCCCAUCCGCCCUCCCGCGCGCCUCCCUCGUCUGCAAGCGCUGGCGCCGCCUCGUCACCGACCGCCGCUUCGUGCGCCGCUUCCGCGCGCACCACCUCGGCGGCCCGCCUCCGCUGAUCGGCUUCUUCGAGGAGGUCACCCGCAAGCCCGACCCCCACAACCCCGCCCCGGGCGACCCCAACGUCCUCUCCUUCACCCCUAUCCUGGAUCACCCCGACCGCGUCCCGGUCGGGCGCUUCUCCCUGCACCUACACGACGGCCACGGCCGCUCGAACAUCGGCUGCCGCGACGGCCUCGUGCUCCUCAUCUACCCGGCGGGCUUCGACAUCGAGGUCCUCGUGUGGGACCCCGUCACCGGCGACCAGCACCGCUUCCUCAUCCCCUGGGUGAUCGACGACGGCCAGGGCACCGAGAUCUUAAACGGGGCGGUCCUUCGCACCGCCGGAAUCCUCGACGAUCGCCCCUUCCGGUUCCAGGCGGUCUUGACCGGCGUCGACGGGCAGAACAAGCGGCUGUUCGCCUGCGUUUACUCGUCCGAGACCGGCAAAUGGGGCGAUCCAAUCUGGGUAUCCGCGGAUUUUACGAGCGGCGUAACCACCAUGAUUGAGAUGCGUGUUUCCAGUACCAUGGUUGGGAAUUCCCUCUACUGGUCCCUUUGCUCAAUUGGUUGGGAGGUAGCUGCCAUCCUUCAGUUUGAUUUGGAUACACAACACCUGGCUGUCAUACACUUACCCUGCUUGGGUAAGUGUAGUAGGAAUGGCAGCCGGACCUUCCGGGCUGUGCCCGUGGACGGCGGUGAGCUUGGCGUCCUUGAGCUGUUUGACGCCAACCUCCAGUUGUGGAAAAGGAAGAUCGACCGUGACGGUGUUGUUUCAUGGGUGCUGGAGAAGACUAUUGGAUUGGAGGAACUUCUUUAUAUAGAUAAAAGGAAAAUGGGCCCAAUGAUGCUCGGGUAUUGCGAGGACAAUAAUGUGGUGUUUAUAUGGACAUAUCACGGUAUUUUCAUGGUCCAGCUUGAGUCACUGGAAGUGUACAAGCCUCCCAUACAGACAUUUUACUGUUUGGUUCAUCCAUUCACAAGUGUCUACACUGCAGACAUGGGCAUUGGUGGUGAGCCUGAUGAAGACAAACUUCUGUGCAAUGCAAUGCAUAAGGUGACUUUAUAACAUUGGUUUACAGGUUUGAUAUAAGCUCCGCAAGCAAUACAAACUUUGACUUUUAAUGGCUUUUGCAUCAUCAACCAGUGGUACAAAAUUCGCUUGACAAGUGACUGUUCCGCAGGUAUCUAGAGUUCCUAUUCGGGUUGCUGGGCAGCGGAAUGGCUUACCGGUGCGGUGCAGGCUCCGUCCGUCUUCUAGUAGGCAGCAAGCAUGUUCUGGUUAACUGCGAAGUAGACUUGUAGGAUUGGUUGAUUUAUUUGUCCAGUUUGGUAACUUCCUUGCAUACCUGAAUAAUUGUAGGACAAGCAGCAACUUGCUUGGACUCAUGAAUAAGGCAGUGGCAUAGACUGUCAGCUCAUGAUCAUGCAUUCAACUGAUUGGUCUCUUGGGUAACAUUUGUGCUUA